This 93-nucleotide transfer RNA is filed under the name Felis catus (domestic cat). It matches the Rfam family "tRNA". Rfam says of the family: Transfer RNA (tRNA) molecules are approximately 80 nucleotides in length. Their secondary structure includes four short double-helical elements and three loops (D, anti-codon, and T loops). Further hydrogen bonds mediate the characteristic L-shaped molecular structure. tRNAs have two regions of fundamental functional importance: the anti-codon, which is responsible for specific mRNA codon recognition, and the 3' end, to which the tRNAs corresponding amino acid is attached (by aminoacyl-tRNA synthetases). tRNAs cope with the degeneracy of the genetic code in two manners: having more than one tRNA (with a specific anti-codon) for a particular amino acid; and 'wobble' base-pairing, i.e. permitting non-standard base-pairing at the 3rd anti-codon position. Lineage: Eukaryota; Metazoa; Chordata; Mammalia; Carnivora; Felidae. The record is from Rfam by way of RNAcentral.
GCCUAGGUGGCUCAGUUGGUUGAGCGUCCGACUUUUGAUUUUGGUUCAGGUCAUGAUCUCAACGGUUUGUGAGUUCAAGCCUCACAUUAGGCU